RNAcentral lists this ribosomal RNA (468 nucleotides) under uncultured bacterium. RNAcentral's name for it is "partial 16S ribosomal RNA". It matches the Rfam family "Bacterial small subunit ribosomal RNA", at positions 28 to 507 of the family's 1533-position model. The record is from RNAcentral.
GACGAACGCUGGCGGCGUGCUUAACACAUGCAAGUCGAACGGAAAGGCCCUGCUUUUGUGGGGUGCUCGAGUGGCUAACGGGUGAGUAACACGUGAGUAACCUGCCCUUGACUUUGGGAUAACUUCAGGAAACUGGGGCUAAUACCGGAUAGGAGCUCCUGCUGCAUGGUGGGGGUUGGAAAGUUUCGGCGGUUGGGGAUGGACUCGCGGCUUAUCAGCUUGUUGGUGGGGUAGUGGCUUACCAAGGCUUUGACGGGUAGCCGGCCUGAGAGGGUGACCGGCCACAUUGGGACUGAGAUACGGCCCAGACUCCUACGGGAGGCAGCAGUGGGGAAUAUUGCACAAUGGGCGGAAGCCUGAUGCAGCAACGCCGCGUGCGGGAUGACGGCCUUCGGGUUGUAAACAGCUUUCGCCUGUGACGCAGCGUGAGUGACGGUAAUGGGUAAAGAAGCACCGGCUAACUACGUG